This 579-nucleotide ribosomal RNA is filed under the name uncultured bacterium. RNAcentral describes it as "bacterial SSU rRNA". It matches the Rfam family "Bacterial small subunit ribosomal RNA", at positions 953 to 1533 of the family's 1533-position model. The record is from RNAcentral.
GGACUACGCCGAAGAACCUUAACUGGCUUUGACAUGCCAAGUGGAGGGGAUCCCAAAUGGGAUCCCCCUUCGGGAGCUUGCACAACCGGUGCAAGGUUGUUGUCAACUCGUGUAGUGAAACGUUCGGUUAAGUUCGAAAACGAGCCCCAGCCCCGUGUCUAGUUUUUAGUGUCUAGACCGACUGCCGGCGACCAGCCGGAGGAAGGUGGGGAUGACGUCAAGUCAGCAUGGCCUUUAUGCCCAGGGCGACACACACGCUACAAUGGCUGGUACAAUGGGUCGUGAAGCCGCGAGGUGGAGCCAAUUUAAGAAAGCCAGUCGUAGUUCGGAUUGCAGGCUGCAACCCGCCUGCAUGAAGUUGGAGUUGCUAGUAAACGCCGGUCAGCCACACGGCGUUGAAUACGUUCCCGGGCCUUGUACACACCGCCCGUCACGUCAUGGGAGCUGGUCACGCCUGAAGUCGGGAAGCGAACCUUACGGGCGCUACCGCCGAGGGCAGGGCCGGUGACUGGGACGAAGUCGUAACAAGGUAGCUGUAGCGGAAGCUGCGGCUGGAUCACCUCCUUCUAGACUGCAGAA